This 240-nucleotide unclassified non-coding RNA is filed under the name soil metagenome. RNAcentral's name for it is "partial contains 5.8S ribosomal RNA, internal transcribed spacer 2, and large subunit ribosomal RNA". The record is from RNAcentral.
AACCUAGCACACCUGCGGUGUGUACCUGCGGAAGGAUCAUUACCGAGUUUACAAACUCCCAACCCUUUGUGAACCUUACCAUAUUGUUGCUUCGGCGGGACCGCCCCGGCGCCUUCGGGCCCGGAACCAGGCGCCCGCCGGAGGCCCCAAACUCUCAUGUCUUUAGUGGUUUUCUCCUCUGAGUGACACAUAAACAAAUAAAUAAAAACUUUCAACAACGGAUCUCAGAUCGGAAGAGCA